This 244-nucleotide microRNA precursor is filed under the name Solanum lycopersicum (tomato). Its description in RNAcentral is "miR7981d stem-loop (sly-MIR7981d)". Lineage: Eukaryota; Viridiplantae; Streptophyta; Magnoliopsida; Solanales; Solanaceae. The record is from miRBase by way of RNAcentral.
UAUGUUCGAAAUCUCAGAGACACACUUAUACUAUAUUAAAGUCCUAUUACCCCUGAACUUAUUUAAUUAAUAUUUUUUUAUCCAUUUUUAGCCUACGUGGCACUAUCCUGUGGGCCAUUGACUUUUUUUUUCAAACUAGUGCCACGUAAGCUAAAAAGGGAUAGAAAAUUACUUAUAAAAUAAGUUUAGGAGGUAAUAGGACCUUAAUAUAGUAUAAAUGUGUCUCUAAGAUUUCGGACGUUGA